CGGCGGACGGGUGAGUAAUGUCUGGGAAACUGCCUGAUGGAGGGGGAUAACUACUGGAAACGGUAGCUAAUACCGCAUAACGUCGCAAGACCAAAGUGGGGGACCUUCGGGCCUCAUGCCAUCAGAUGUGCCCAGAUGGGAUUAGCUUGUAGGUGAGGUAACGGCUCACCUAGGCGACGAUCCCUAGCUGGUCUGAGAGGAUGACCAGCCACACUGGAACUGAGACACGGUCCAGACUCCUACGGGAGGCAGCAGUGGGGAAUAUUGCACAAUGGGCGCAAGCCUGAUGCAGCCAUGCCGCGUGUAUGAAGAAGGCCUUCGGGUUGUAAAGUACUUUCAGCGAGGAGGAAGGCGAUAAGGUUAAUAACCUUGUCGAUUGACGUUACUCGCAGAAGAAGCACCGGCUAACUCCGUGCCAGCAGCCGCGGUAAUACGGAGGGUGCAAGCGUUAAUCGGAAUUACUGGGCGUAAAGCGCACGCAGGCGGUCUGUCAAGUCGGAUGUGAAAUCCCCGGGCUCAACCUGGGAACUGC
Molecule: ribosomal RNA, 532 nt
Filed under: Raoultella sp.
Lineage: Bacteria; Pseudomonadati; Pseudomonadota; Gammaproteobacteria; Enterobacterales; Enterobacteriaceae
Description: bacterial SSU rRNA
Rfam family: Bacterial small subunit ribosomal RNA
Source: RNAcentral